CAAUACCCCAAAACUCUGAUUUUCAGCGCAAGUCUGAUUAUAAAUAUCAGCAAGUUGUGGAGCACUCUCGCCAUCUUUACAUUGCCGCAAGAAAUCAAUCCAGAUCAGCGCAUACGCACGACUGUCUGAAGGGAGGAUCCCAACAAGCGGCUGAAUGGGACGGUGGCAAAAGCAUCACGUCAGAUUUCACGCUUGCGUGUGACAGCAGUGGUUGUUUAGCAGGAGACGGUGUUGUUGACUAUACAAGGCAAGUCCGAAAUCGAGCAAUAAGCCACUCAUUGCAGUGCUUUACAGGGAUUUGAGCGCAGCUAAGAGGCGCUGUUAGACACAGUGAAAACCUCAAAUCACUGCAAAGCACCGGGGCUUUCAGCCGGUGUUAUGGCAACAUGUAUUUA
Long non-coding RNA from Sphaeramia orbicularis (orbiculate cardinalfish), 395 nucleotides. RefSeq lists it as uncharacterized. Lineage: Eukaryota; Metazoa; Chordata; Actinopteri; Kurtiformes; Apogonidae. The transcript is spliced from 2 exons. The record is from RefSeq and is a predicted model, not a curated record.